This 103-nucleotide ribosomal RNA is filed under the name Danio rerio (zebrafish). Lineage: Eukaryota; Metazoa; Chordata; Actinopteri; Cypriniformes; Danionidae. The record is from RNAcentral.
AAACACAGCCAUAUCACCCUGCAGCUCACUAAAGCUAAGCAGGGUUGAGCCUGGUCAGUUCCUGGAUGGGAGACCACAUGGGAAAACAAGGUUUCUGUUAGAA